GUUCCCUUUGGUUGGAAACAAGCCAAGUCUCAUAAUUUUCUUCUAAUUUAACAUUUUUAACUAAUUUUAUAACUUUUUGUGGUUUUCCGGUAACAUAUGAAAAAAAAAGUAAAGAAAGAUGGCAUACGAGUAAAACCGUAGUGAUAGUGGCUCCGUGAAUUUUGCUUCUAAAGUGCAGCUUUUUAAAAUACCUAAGUGUUUAUUGGGAAAAACUGUGUUGGUCUAAGCAUCCCUUGUUCAGUGAUCCAAGUUUUAGUUGGUGAACUACAGUACUGCAGCUCCAGUGCUAUUUUUAUUGUCUCUUGCCCAAAUGUUUCUUUCGUCGACAGAUCUACGUGAAAUUAAGUCAGUUGUUGCUGCUGUUUUUACUAAAAAAUUCCUCUCUGAUAUAGCAGAAAAAGUUCUCGCAAUGGUUGAACAGCGUUUUGAUGAUAGAUUGAAAACUCAAAAGGCCGAAAUUGAGAAAAUUAGAGGUGAUCUGAUAAAGGUACAAAAUGAAAACGCCGCUCUUCGACAACAAAUAGAUCAACAAGAGCAAAGUGUGCGCAAUGACAACAUCCGUAUUUUUCAAAAUAAUCAUCCAUUACUCUCAAAGAGACUUAAGUAUAUGAACAAAGGAGGGAGUUACGCGUUUCGCCGUAUUAGGGCAUGAUCAGACAUAAAUAAAAUUAUUAAAAUUAAAUGAUACAGGACAGAACGGCAAUUAACAGAAAAGACAUACCUAUCUAAAUACAAAAGCCACACACUAAAAUCAAUAAAAAAUAUAAAAUAAAAUGAGUUUACACUAUCGUGUAUCGUUAUUGACUAAAAUAUGGACUUUAAAACGCCAAAUAUCACAUCCAGUACAUAUUAUCUUAAAAGGAAUAAAAACAAAUACAAUUAUGAAAGGACAAAAAAAAUAAAAAAGAUUUUUUCAAAAAAUGUUUUAAUUUGAUAGGGAUCGAACCACAGACCACUACUGGAUCCGAAGUCCGAAGCAUAUACCUUAUCGCCAAAUCGGGGUAAUGUUGUAGUGUGCGAAUAAUUACAUUAUAUGAGACAAGAUUAAAUUUUUAUUUUUUUA
Molecule: long non-coding RNA, 1063 nt
Organism: Anthonomus grandis grandis
Lineage: Eukaryota; Metazoa; Arthropoda; Insecta; Coleoptera; Curculionidae
Exons: 2
Source: RefSeq, a predicted model, not a curated record